RNAcentral lists this long non-coding RNA (1134 nucleotides) under Astyanax mexicanus (Mexican tetra). Its description in RNAcentral is "lncRNA (ENSAMXG00005003010.1)". Lineage: Eukaryota; Metazoa; Chordata; Actinopteri; Characiformes; Acestrorhamphidae. The record is from RNAcentral.
GUCAUAUCUACAAGCUGAACCCUGUUCUCCAAGAUGGUGUGCUUCGAGUUGGUGGAAGACUCAGUAGAGCGGCAAUGCCAGAUGAGGCAAAACACCCAGCCAUCCUACCUAAAGAUCUUCAUGUGACCAGCCUCAUCCUUCGUCACAUCCAUCAGGAGACAGGCCACAGUGGGCGUAACCACAUGCUUUCCAGCCUGCGUCAAAAAUUCUGGGUUCCAGGAGUCAGUUCAGCAAUAAGAAAGAUACUUUCAAGAUGCAUUAACUGUCGAAGAAUGCAUAGUACUACUGGACAACAACAGAUGGCAGACCUGCCUCAUGACAGAGUUUUACCUGAUGAGCCACCAUUCACAAAUGUAGGGGUGGACUACUUUGGCCCAUUUGAGGUAAAGCGGGGAAGAUGCAUUGUCAAGAGGUAUGGUGUCAUAUUUACAUGCCUGGCUCUGCGUGCCAUCCACAUUGAGGUUGCAUCCUCAUUAGAUACAGAUUCAUUCAUUCAUGCUCUUCGACGAUUUAUCGCGAGACGAGGCCAAGUCUCAGUUCUUCGAUCAGACAAUGGCACAAACUUCGUCGGAGCUGAGAGAGAACUAAGAGAGGCAAUUCAAGGAUGGAAUAACUCUCAGAUUCAUGACUUUCUUCUUCAUAAAGGCAUCAAGUGGAUUUUUAACCCACCUACUGGCUCACACCAUGGAGGAGUGUGGGAAAGAUUAAUCAGAUCUAUAAGGAAAGUCCUUAAUUCCACCUUGCGGAUGCAAACCUUGGAUGAAGAAGGUCUUCUAACUGUUCUUUGUGAAGUGGAGGCAAUUCUUAAUAGCCGUCCUAUUACAAAGGCAUCCAAUGAUCCCCAUGACCUUGAAGCACUCACACCUAACCACUUGUUACUCCUAAAAUCCAAACCAUCUCUUCCACCAGGACUUUUUCAGAAGGAAGACUUGUAUGUUCGGCGACGAUGGAGGCAUGUUCAAUAUAUGGCAGACUUGUUCUGGAAAAGGUGGAUGAAAGAAUUCUUACCACUGAUGCAAGAACGGCAAAAGUGGGGACGCAUAAAGCGCAAUUUCAGUGUUGGAGACUUUGUUCUCCUCGUGGAUGAAUCAGCUCCUCGUAACUCAUGGGUGAUGGGCAAAAUCAUCCAAGUGU